AGGACACGCUGGCGGCGUGCUUAACACAUGCAAGUCGAACGGAGUUACGUAUGAAGUAUUUCGGUACGGACUACAUAACUUAGUGGCGAACGGGUGAGUAACACGUGGGCAACCUGCCCUUAACCGGGGGAUAACAUUGUGAAAACAGUGCUAAUACCGCAUAACAGAGUAUCGGGCAUCCGAUAUUUUAAAAGGAGCAAUCCGGUUUAGGAUGGGCCCGCGUCCAAUUAGCUAGUUGGUGAGGUAACGGCUCACCAAGGCUACGAUUGGUAGCCGAACUGAGAGGUUGAUCGGCCACAUUGGAACUGAGACACGGUCCAGACUCCUACGGGAGGCAGCAGUGGGGAAUUUUGGACAAUGGGCGCAAGCCUGAUCCAGCAAUGCCGCGUGCAGGAUGAAGGCCUUCGGGUUGUAAACUGCUUUUGUACGGAACGAAAAGGCUCUGGUUAAUACCUGGGGCUCAUGACGGUACCGUAAGAAUAAGCACCGGCUAACUACGUG
This 501-nucleotide ribosomal RNA is filed under the name uncultured bacterium. Its description in RNAcentral is "bacterial SSU rRNA". It matches the Rfam family "Bacterial small subunit ribosomal RNA", at positions 33 to 507 of the family's 1533-position model. The record is from RNAcentral.